Molecule: ribosomal RNA, 370 nt
Filed under: uncultured organism
Description: bacterial SSU rRNA
Rfam family: Bacterial small subunit ribosomal RNA
Source: RNAcentral
CGGAGGGUGCGAGCGUUAUCCGGAAUUACUGGGUUUAAAGGGUGCGUAGGCGGCGUAUGUAAGUCAGGAGUGAAAGUUUGCGGCUCAACCGUAAAAUUGCUUUUGAUACUGCAUGGCUGGAAUUAGGAUGAGGUCAGCGGAAUGUGGCAUGUAGCGGUGAAAUGCAUAGAUAUGCCAUAGAACACCAAUUGCGAAGGCAGCUGGCUAGACCUGGAUUGACGCUGAGGCACGAAAGCGUGGGGAGCGAACAGGAUUAGAUACCCUGGUAGUCCACGCCCUAAACGAUGCUUACUCGACGUAUGAUGCUAGACAUUGUGCGUCCAAGGGAAACCGUUAAGUAAGCCACCUGGGGAGUACGACCGCAAGGUUG